GGCUUUUCCACCUGGACAAUCCCUCCCUCCCCAGGUGGAAGGUGAGGGGGUUCUGCUUCUCCCUGGGCAGAAGCAGCACCACAGCCCCUUUGUCCCCUUUGCCAGAGGCUUCAAGGGGCAGCGUCCCCCAGUGCCCCCCGAGCAAGCUCCCCAUCUGACAAGGGAGGCCCUAGCUCAUCCCAGAAGCAUCAGAGUCAUCCUUCACACUCACCACCAUGCUGAGCACCCAGAGGGGCUCAUGCCUCCAGUGUCAGACAGGAUUGAGAUCCAGGCUGUCUGGCUCCGGGGUCUUAGCCCUGACACUCGACUUCAGAGGGAGUUCUUGCCUGGGAGUGCCUUCAAAGCAGAAUCCCUGGACACUUUCCCCUGCGACGUUUAGUCCUUUAAGGAGGCCGUAAGCACGUUGACCUGCCCCAGAGCCAGUUGUGCCCUCACGUCCCUCAGGACGGCCCACCAUGGCCAAGCACAGGCCAGAGAACAGCCUUGUUGGCGUCAAGACUGUUGGCAUCAGGGUCCUGCUUGUCAGGUUAGGAACGUGGUUCCUUUACCUGCACCUCCAGGUGAUGCUGUCUCCAUCCUUAGAACCUGAAGGCCUAGGUUCCUAAAAGUAGUAGCAGCAGCAGUAGUAGUAGCAGUAAUAGUAGGAGAAGGAGGAGCUGAAGACCUCACAAUAAUCAUUGCCCAACCGCGUGAACCAGCCCAUCUUAAGCAUGGACCACACACUGUCGAAUUCUCACACCUCUUUUUGGAGCGGGUUCUCUCAAUUAUCCCAUUUACAGACAAAGAAUCUGAGACUCCAAGGGGCUAAAUGAUUUGCUCAAAGUCAGGGUAAGUGUGAGAACUGGAGCCGAAACCCAGCCUGCUGGACCUGAGCCCCUGACUCUCAACCUUAAGCCACGCUGUCUCCCAUGGAUCCCUCCAGGGCCACGCAGUUGGUGCUCAAUAAUUGCAUACUGCGUGGAGGUGAGCUGGGCUCUGGGUGUGGCCAGGUGGUGUCCCUGGAGGGCUCAGCAUACCUUUCUCAGGUAGGUGGUAUUAGGCAGUGGGCUCAUGUGGUCCUGAUUCAGAGGCGGAGAAUGGGAGUGUUUCAGGGGUGCAGGUAUGAGCCUGGUCCUAGCACACAUCUCUAGGUGGGGACAGACUCCUCUCAGCCAGCCCAUUGCCCAGUGAUAGUUCCUUUGCACUGAUGCUGUCACACCCUUGUCCUUCUGGGGGAUUAAACUCUGCCCUCUGGGUGUGUUCAUGGGCAGCUCAGUAAUACAAAGAAGUCAUUCAUAAGUUUACUUUGCUUUCGACUGCCCUUUCAUGGUAACGUUGGUUCAAGGGAAUCCUGUGAUUCCCCAAAUGUGGGGAGCAAAUCGAGUCACCAUGAGUCACCUCCCCAGGCUGAUGUCUUCUCUGGCAUGUGUGGCCACGGGGGAGCCAGGAUGGGUCUCCUUCCUCACUCCAUCUGCUCGCUGGGUCUUGGUCUCAGGUGCCUCUUCCCUUCACUGCCUGUCUUUUAUUCCUCUCUCUACCCUCUCCUCAUGCAGAAAUUGGGAUUUCUCAUACAGAGAAAUGGAGUGAUUGCUCCUGAUUGCACAGCCGGGAGGGCUGUACACUGGAGCCCCUCCUGCUGCAAUUAACUUAUUUCCACCCCUGCGGUGUGCGGUUCCUGGAGCAACGCCUGCUACCUGCUUCUCUGCCCCAUCCUCUGUGAGGAAGGGUCCAUGCUGUUCCUUUUUCUGUCCCAAAAAUGUGCUCAUGUGCCCCAAGUUGUGUGAACCACUGACUCUGUGCUCCUUCCAGGCCCUGACCAGUGUGUUUGAGCAUUAAAGCUCGCAGGUGCAUCAAAGGUGCUCAGUAAAUGCUGGAUAAAUCAAUCCAUGCUUUCCUGGGCUCUCCUGGUGGGCAUGCAUUCUUUUAGCUAAGCGUCCCUGCCAGGGUAGUGGUUGGUUUCCAUGAGGCCAGAGGGGGAAAAGCUGGUUGACCCCUAUCCUGGGCAUUCAGAGUCAUUUCCCGCUCCUUUCUGUGGCUGGAACCAGAAGAAUAUAUCUCAGGUCUAAUAGGGUAUGGACUGCAUAAAGCCUGGGAUCUUUGUGCAUUCUAUUCAUGACAAUGUCUCUAGCCUGUUGAACAGCCCAUAGUAGGCACUCAGCAAACCAAUAGGAACUGAGGGGGUCAAGGAAAUGCCCUGUGAUCCCCCCGAAUCCAAUCCCUCUGUCUUUGCCCACCUUUCCUCCGUUAAAACACAGCCUAUAUCAAUGAGGGCCUGGGAGAAAACUGGGGUGGGGGAGGACUGUGCCUCUCUUGAACUUCAUUUACAAAAAAUAAGUUGGCUCCUAGACCAGUGUUGGAGCCACACUUCCCGGGACAGCCCUAAAGCAGCCAAGUCCCCACCUUUCAGGAGUCGGCCAAGAGCAUGGUGGCUGCAGAAGACCCUGGCUGAUGGAGAUAACAUUUGACAAACAGGUGCUUUUCCAAUUAUGGAUAACAACAGAAAAGCAGUCAUUGGCUUCUAAAAGGUCAUCAAGAUAUAAAGCCCAUUUGGGAAGGGAAUGACUUACGCAGUGGGCUUGUAUAAAUCUGGAGAAGUUUUAUGCACAAGUCAGACAAGAAAUGUGUUCUACAUACGGCUCGGGAGCCAGCAAGUGCUUAUGAAGCCCCUUCACAUGGCCAGUAGCGUCCUAAGGGCCCGGCGACAAUUAGUCAUGGCGUCAUCGAACGCCAGGCUGGAGGAGGUCUUGGAUGCCGCAGCUCCUUUUGAAUUUCAAAGACGUUCAAAUCCCCAUCUGGCUGUUACACUUUUAGGCUAUUGAGAGUGAAAACAAGCACUGACAUGAACACCCAACCAGCUGCUGGUGACAUUGUCCCCUUCUGAGAUCUGAGGACAUGAACACCCAACCACCUGCCGGUGACAUUGUCCCCUUCUGAGAUCUGAGGACAUGAACACCCAACCACCUGCCGGUGACAUCGUCCCCUUCUGAGAUCUGAGGACAUGGACACCCACCCACCUGCCGGUGACAUUGUCCCCUUCUGAGAUCUGAGGACAUGAACACCCAACCACCUGCCGGUGACAUCGUCCCCUUCUGAGAUCUGAGGACAUGGACACCAAACCACCUGCCGGUGACAUCGUCCCCUUCUGAGAUCUGAGGACAUGAACACCCAACCACCUGCCGGUGACAUCGUCCCCGUCUGAGAUCUGAGGACAUGGAUACCCAACCACCUGCCAGUGACAUCGUCUCCUUCUGAGAUCUGAGGACAUGGACACCCAACCACCUGCCGGUGACAUCGUCCCCUUCUGAGAUCUGAGGACAUGAACACCCAACCACCUGCCGGUGACAUCGUCCCCUUCUGAGAUCUGAGGACAUGAACACCCAACCACCUGCCGGUGACAUCGUCCCCUUCUGAGAUCUGAGGACAUGGAUACCCAACCACCUGCCGGUGACAUCGUCCCCUUCUGAGAUCUGAGGACAUGAACACCCAACCACCUGCCGGUGACAUCGUCCCCUUCUGAGAUCUGAGGACAUGGAUACCCAACCACCUGCCAGUGACAUCGUCUCCUUCUGAGAUCUGAGGACAUGGACACCCAACCUGCUGCCGGUGACAUCGUCCCCUUCUGAGAUCUGAGGACAUGGACACCCAACCACCUGCCAGUGACAUCGUCUCCUUCUGAGAUCUGAGGACAUGGGCACCCAACCUGCUGCCGGUGACAUCGUCUCCUUCUGAGGUCUGAGGACAGACACUCACAUGGACACCUAAACACCUGCCGAUGAUAUUGUCUCCUGAAAUCUGAGGACAUGGACACCCAACCUGCUGCCAGUGACAUCGUCCCCUUCUGAGAUCUGAGGACAUGGACACCAAACCACCUGCUGGUGACAUCGUCUCCUUCUGAGAUCUGAGGACAUGGACACCCAACCUGCUGCCGGUGACAUUGUCCCCUUCUGAGAUCUGAGGACAUGGACACCCAACCACCUGCUGGUGACAUCGUCUCCUUCUGAGAUCUGAGGACAGACACAUAGACGCCCAAUCAGCUGCUGGUGACAUUGUCUCCUUCUGAAAUCUGAGGGUUGGAACACAUUGGGCUGGCUCAGUGUUUCUCCAUGUGGUUUUGAGACCACCUGAGUUGGAACCGAUAUGGGUUCCCAGCCUCACGCCUGGAGAGCUGGAUUUUGCGAGUGUGAGGUUAGGUCCAGCAUCUGCAUGUGUAAUGAGCUCCCAGGUGUUUCGUAGAUGCAUUAGGGCUUGAGAAGCUCCUUUCUAGCACCAUCUUCCUUUUUGCACAUGAGGGCGUUCAGGUCCAGAGAAAUAAAGCAGCAAGGUUGGUGGC
RNAcentral lists this long non-coding RNA (4309 nucleotides) under Pan troglodytes (chimpanzee). Its description in RNAcentral is "lincRNA". Lineage: Eukaryota; Metazoa; Chordata; Mammalia; Primates; Hominidae. The record is from RNAcentral.